RNAcentral lists this transfer RNA (93 nucleotides) under Acidimicrobiia bacterium. RNAcentral's name for it is "tRNA-Sec". It matches the Rfam family "Selenocysteine transfer RNA". The record is from RNAcentral. Lineage: Bacteria; Bacillati; Actinomycetota; Acidimicrobiia.
GGAGGCGUCCGAGCGCCUGGUGGGCUCCUCGGUCUUCAAAACCGAUGAAGGGUUCUUUGAGUCCUUGGCGGGUUCGAUUCCCGUCCGCCUCCG